AAAUUGAAGAGUUUGAUCAUGGCUCAGAUUGAACGCUGGCGGCAGGCCUAACACAUGCAAGUCGAACGGUAACAGGAAACAGCUUGCUGUUUCGCUGACGAGUGGCGGACGGGUGAGUAAUGUCUGGGAAACUGCCUGAUGGAGGGGGAUAACUACUGGAAACGGUAGCUAAUACCGCAUAACGUCGCAAGACCAAAGAGGGGGACCCUCGGGCCUCUUGCCAUCGGAUGUGCCCAGAUGGGAUUAGCUUGUUGGUGGGGUAACGGCUCACCAAGGCGACGAUCCCUAGCUGGUCUGAGAGGAUGACCAGCCACACUGGAACUGAGACACGGUCCAGACUCCUACGGGAG
RNAcentral lists this ribosomal RNA (350 nucleotides) under Escherichia coli. Its description in RNAcentral is "bacterial SSU rRNA". It matches the Rfam family "Bacterial small subunit ribosomal RNA", at positions 1 to 347 of the family's 1533-position model. Lineage: Bacteria; Pseudomonadati; Pseudomonadota; Gammaproteobacteria; Enterobacterales; Enterobacteriaceae. The record is from RNAcentral.